Molecule: ribosomal RNA, 612 nt
Filed under: uncultured bacterium
Lineage: Bacteria
Description: bacterial SSU rRNA
Rfam family: Bacterial small subunit ribosomal RNA
Source: RNAcentral
ACAGUUUGAUGAUGGCUCAGAUUGAACGCUGGCGGCAUGCUUAAUACAUGCAAGUCGAACGGUAACAGAUUCUUCGGAAUGCUGACGAGUGGCGGACGGGUGAGUAAUACAUAGGAAUCUGCCCAUGUAGUGGGGGACAACUUGGGGAAACUCAAGCUAAUACCGCAUAAUUCCUACGGGAUAAAGAGGGCCACUGCUUGCAAGCUCUUGCUACUGGAUGAGCCUAUGUCGGAUUAGUUAGUUGGUAAGGUAAUGGCUUACCAAGACAGCGAUCCGUAGCUGGUUUGAGAGGAUGAUCAGCCACACUGGGACUGAGACACGGCCCAGACUCCUACGGGAGGCAGCAGUAGGGAGUAUUGGACAAUGGGCGCAAGCCUGAUCCAGCAAUGCCGCGUGUGUGAAGAAGGCCUGCGGGUUGUAAAGCACUUUCAAUUGGGAAGAAAGAUUAUGAGUUAAUACCUUAUAAUAUUGACGUUACCAAUACAAGAAGCACCGGCUAACUCUGUGCCAGCAGCCGCGGUAAUACAGAGGGUGCGAGCGUUAAUCGGAAUUACUGGGCGUAAAGAGUACGUAGGUGGUUAAAUCAGUCGGAUGUGAAAGCCCCAGGCUUAA